CAAUCCUUUGCCAUGUGCUCUGGGAUGACCCUGCAUGAGCAGGAGGUUGGACCAGAUGACCCACUGUGGUCCCUCCCAACCUGACCCAUCCUCUGAUUUUGUAAAUACUUCCUUUCUUUUC
This is a long non-coding RNA of Empidonax traillii (willow flycatcher), 121 nucleotides long. RefSeq lists it as uncharacterized. The record is from RefSeq and is a predicted model, not a curated record. The transcript is spliced from 4 exons. NCBI's taxonomy places the organism in Eukaryota, Metazoa, Chordata, Aves, Passeriformes, Tyrannidae.